This 459-nucleotide ribosomal RNA is filed under the name uncultured bacterium. Its description in RNAcentral is "partial 16S ribosomal RNA". It matches the Rfam family "Bacterial small subunit ribosomal RNA", at positions 338 to 795 of the family's 1533-position model. The record is from RNAcentral.
CCUACGGGUGGCAGCAGUGAGGAAUAUUGGUCAAUGGGCGGAAGCCUGAACCAGCCAAGUAGCGUGCGGGAUGAAGGCCCUACGGGUCGUAAACCGCUUUUGCACGGGGAUAACACCCUCCACUUGUGGAGGUCUGCAGGUACCGUGCGAACAAGGGCCGGCAAAUUCCGUGCCAGCAGCCGCGGUAAUACGGAGGAUGCGAGCGUUAUCCGGAUUUAUUGGGGUUAAAGGGUGCGUAGGCGGGAGGUUAAGUCAGCGGUAAAAUGUCGGUGCUCAACACCGGCCUGCCGUUGAAACUGGUCUUCUUGAGUGAGCGAGAAGUAUGCGGAAUGCGUGGUGUAGCGGUGAAAUGCAUAGAUAUCACGCAGAACUCCGAUUGCGAAGGCAGCAUACCGGCGCUCAACUGACGCUGAGGCACGAAAGCGUGGGGAUCGAACAGGAUUAGAUACCCUUGUAGUC